AUGUUCGGACUAUUGAGGAGAAAAAGGGUACUAUGUAGUUUUAUACUAUUUUUAGCCUAUAUAGAUUUAAGACUUGUUAAAAAUAAAAGAAAAUGUGCUGUUAAUACUGUUUUGAACAAAAUAUAUUAUCCAAAUAAAAGGGAAACACAAAAAAAAUGUUGGUAUUAUAUUUUGAAACAUAAUAAAGUAAACAAAAAAAAAAAUCGAAAAAAAAAUAAUAAUGAAUUAUACGAAAGUUGUAAGAAAAGACCAGAAAGAAAAAUAGAUUGUUAUGAAUUAAAUAUAAGAAAUGAUAAAUAUUUUUUAAAAUAUGCAAAGAAACCAGUAAGUCCUAUGUCUAAUUUACACAAUUUUUCACCUUUUAAAAAUAUUAUAGCUAGUUUUCAUCCUAUUAAUUUUGAUGUGAAAAAGAAAUUGAGAGAAGAAGGAUUUCAGUUUGAGAGUGAAAAAACAAAUUCGAAUAUUUUUCCAUCUCUUGAUGACAUUAUAAAAAAUGGAAAUCCAUCAACCAAUAUGCAUUUUUAUAGAAGGCAAAAAUUAAAAAGUAUAUUUUAUAGAGAUCCUUUAAAAUUUGUAAAUACAAAAAAAGUGAUUCAAAAGUAUAAUAGAACAGCAACACCGGAAAAACAAAUAAAUUAUGAUACAUUCAAAUGUGAUAUUUUUUAUGUACAUUCGGAUGGGACCAUCAUGAACAUUGAAGAAAAUAGGCCUCCAUAUGAAAAGAAGUUGGAAGAAAGCGAAAAGGAAAAAGAACCUAGAUUCGUUAUAAUGGCUCCACCCGGACAUGCGAAGGAAGAAAAUUUAAAGGUGGGAGAUAAAUUUCCAACUGUUAAUGAAGAACAUAAGAAAAAUCUAUUUGACAACCAUUUCGCCAAACCUAAGAAAAUUAGAGACCCAUUAGUUUUACCUGACGGUAGAAAAAUACCUUAAACAGUUUUUUUUUUUUUUUUCAUUUUUUUUUUAUUUUUUUUUCAUUUUUUUUUUUUUUUUUUUUUUUACUUCUUUACUCUUCUAAAACUUUGUUAAUAAAAAUAAAAUUAAACUAUGUGAACA
This 1053-nucleotide long non-coding RNA is filed under the name Piliocolobus tephrosceles (Ugandan red Colobus). RNAcentral describes it as "lncRNA (ENSPTEG00000001869.1)". Lineage: Eukaryota; Metazoa; Chordata; Mammalia; Primates; Cercopithecidae. The record is from RNAcentral.